RNAcentral lists this long non-coding RNA (431 nucleotides) under Gossypium barbadense (sea-island cotton). RNAcentral describes it as "long non-coding RNA (GBAR_LNC001921)". Lineage: Eukaryota; Viridiplantae; Streptophyta; Magnoliopsida; Malvales; Malvaceae. The record is from RNAcentral.
AAUCAUGGAAGGGAAGAAGCUACUUGGGAAUCAGAAGAGACUAUGCGUCAACAAUACCCUCAACUAGUUGGAUCAGGUAAAUUUCGAGGACGAAAUUUCUUUAAGGAGGGUAGAGUUGUAACGCCUCAAUUUUCGGGAAUUCUGUGAAUGUUGGCAUAGGUUUAAUUAUGUUAGUGGGCCUCUAGAAGGCCCAAGCUUAAGAUAGAACCCGGCAAUUUUAGUUAAUUUUUGUUCCAUAAGAAAAAGUGGGUGAAAUUAUAAAAUAGAAUCUAUGUGAAAAUGUUUGAAAAUGCUAUAGGCUAAAUUGAAGUGGCCGAAUAAAUAGGAGUGCAAAAUAGGAGGAUUUGCAUGACAAACCUCCCAUUUUACAUGAAGUGGCCGGCCAUCAUGUUGUUGUAGACAAUAUGAGCACUUGAUAUCCAUAAUUCAUG